Molecule: ribosomal RNA, 758 nt
Filed under: uncultured bacterium
Lineage: Bacteria
Description: bacterial SSU rRNA
Rfam family: Bacterial small subunit ribosomal RNA
Source: RNAcentral
GAGUAACGCGUGAGGAACCUGCCUUGAAGAGGGGGACAACAGUUGGAAACGACUGCUAAUACCGCAUGACGCAUAGGGGUCGCAUGAUCUUUAUGCCAAAGAUUUAUCGCUUCAAGAUGGCCUCGCGUCUGAUUAGCUGGUUGGCGGGGUAACGGCCCACCAAGGCGACGAUCAGUAGCCGGACUGAGAGGUUGAACGGCCACAUUGGGACUGAGAUACGGCCCAGACUCCUACGGGAGGCAGCAGUGGGGAAUAUUGGGCAAUGGGCGCAAGCCUGACCCAGCAACGCCGCGUGAAGGAAGAAGGCUUUCGGGUUGUAAACUUCUUUUAAGAGGGAAGAGCAGAAGACGGUACCUCUAGAAUAAGCCACGGCUAACUACGUGCCAGCAGCCGCGGUAAUACGUAGGUGGCAAGCGUUGUCCGGAUUUACUGGGUGUAAAGGGCGUGCAGCCGGGUCUGCAAGUCAGAUGUGAAAUCCAUGGGCUCAACCCAUGAACUGCAUUUGAAACUGUAGAUCUUGAGUGUCGGAGGGGCAAUCGGAAUUCCUAGUGUAGCGGUGAAAUGCGUAGAUAUUAGGAGGAACACCAGUGGCGAAGGCGGAUUGCUGGACGAUAACUGACGGUGAGGCGCGAAAGUGUGGGGAGCAAACAGGAUUAGAUACCCUGGUAGUCCACACUGUAAACGAUGAAUACUAGGUGUGCGGGGACUGACCCCCUGCGUGCCGCAGUAAACACAAUAAGUAUUCCACCUGGGGAGUA